Molecule: ribosomal RNA, 462 nt
Filed under: uncultured bacterium
Lineage: Bacteria
Description: partial 16S ribosomal RNA
Rfam family: Bacterial small subunit ribosomal RNA
Source: RNAcentral
GACGAACGCUGACGGCGUGCUUAACACAUGCCAGUCGAGCGGAAAGGCCCUUCGGGGUACUCGAGCGGCGAACGGGUGAGUAACACGUGAGUAACCUGCCCCAGACUUUGGGAUAACCCUCGGAAACGGGGGCUAAUACCGGAUACGACACAGCUUCGCAUGGGGUCUGUGUGGAAAGUUUUUCGGUUUGGGAUGGGCUCGCGGCCUAUCAGCUUGUUGGUGGGGUGAUGGCCUACCAAGGCGACGACGGGUAGCCGGCCUGAGAGGGCGACCGGCCACACUGGGACUGAGGCACGGCCCAGACUCCUACGGGAGGCAGCAGUGGGGAAUAUUGCACAAUGGGCGGAAGCCUGAUGCAGCGACGCCGCGUGAGGGAUGACGGCCUUCGGGUUGUAAACCUCUUUCAGCAGGGACGAAGCGUAAGUGACGGUACCUGCAGAAGAAGCGCCGGCCAACUACGUG